Molecule: transfer RNA, 77 nt
Filed under: Vibrio alginolyticus
Lineage: Bacteria; Pseudomonadati; Pseudomonadota; Gammaproteobacteria; Vibrionales; Vibrionaceae
Also listed under: 9 other names
Description: tRNA-Ile
Rfam family: tRNA
About the family: Transfer RNA (tRNA) molecules are approximately 80 nucleotides in length. Their secondary structure includes four short double-helical elements and three loops (D, anti-codon, and T loops).
Source: RNAcentral
UCCUCUUUAGCUCAGUUGGUUAGAGCACACCCCUGAUAAGGGUGAGGUCGCUGGUUCAAGUCCAGCAAGGGGAACCA